UUAACUAUUAUAUAGUACUCAGACAAUAUUAUUAAACAAGAGUUUUAGAUCCUCUAGCAGGCACUGACCAGCAAAAGCCGGUGGUCCAAAAACGGGCCUGCUAAAGCAACAAUAGUAAGGUAAACAAAGGGUGGAGAAUUAGGGUAUUAGCCCAUAAUAACUCUUUAAUGAUCCUUCCGCAGGUUCACCUACGGAAA
Molecule: unclassified non-coding RNA, 197 nt
Filed under: uncultured fungus
Lineage: Eukaryota; Fungi
Description: sequence contains ITS1
Source: RNAcentral